UAUACAUGUUUUCAAAUCUACCAAUCCCUUUAACAUUCAUUAGUUCUGGAACGUGAAUCAAGGAAUGCAUCAUCAAUUAACUCAUUUGGCUAAGGUAUAGGUCAAGAGACAAAGAUGGUCCCUUGCAGAAUAGGCUUUAGUAACAGGGGAUCUCUCAAAAAUGAUUAAGCUUUAGUAGAAUGCUAAAGGUAAGUCCCAAGCUAUGCAUCCAGAGAUAAGAUCCCAUCUACCCAGAGUAUAACCAAUGAAGCUCUAAUGGUAAUCCCAUCUCCAGUCCC
RNAcentral lists this small RNA (278 nucleotides) under Arabidopsis thaliana (thale cress). RNAcentral's name for it is "ATSL203050". The record is from RNAcentral. Lineage: Eukaryota; Viridiplantae; Streptophyta; Magnoliopsida; Brassicales; Brassicaceae.